AUAACUAACUAACUAACUUCCUUCCUUCCUUCCUUCCUUCCUCCCUCCCUCCCUCCCUGCCUUCCCUUCCUUCCUGCCUUCCUUCUUCCUUCCUCCCUUUUUUCUUUUCUCCCUUCCUUCCUUCUUAAUAUGUUUUUGGCCUUUUCUUUAUAUAUGUGGCCUAGCAAUAUCCUGUGUUUGGAAAAGUAUAAACCUAAGGCAUCACCUUUACAGAAAAUAUCUUCCACGGAAACAUCUAAAGUGAGGAGGUAAAGUUGCAUUCACAGGCCUUGAACUUUUCCACAUCUCGAUUUUUACCCAUCAUCUCUGAAUAGUUCCCUAAGGCAGCCUUCAAAUGGUGAUGUUUCUUAUAAUCCAGAGUUCAGAAGUGGCUUCUCUUCAAUCUUUCUGUGGAAUUCUAAACCAUGUGAUAAAGGAGCUGGUGGCCACAGAUCAGCCCUGGGGUUCAGAGGGAUCCUGACGGCUACUCCUCAAGAUCCUCUCUGUUGUGAUUCAUCCCCCCCGGGCCCUACAGUUUCUCCUUCCUGACUCUUACAUUUCUUUGGAUGGCAUCAUUAUUUACCUGUCUCCUCCCAUAGUUAGGUGCCAAGCACUGUGGAUUCUGCCCCUCAGUGUCCAGACACCCAUUUUCCUUCCCACUGUUCCUUCCCCAUGGAGAAGCCUGUGGCUGGCUGACAGCAGAGAGAGAUGCUCAACUUGGAGAAGGUGUUACCUGGGCCAGGUGGGGAAGGUUUGUUUGCAGAGCAAAGAAGUGAAGGAAGUAUUAACCCUUUGCAUGGCCUCCUGAGAAUCCGACAAGACGUAAAUAGCCAAGAAUAUCUGUGGAACUUAAUCACUGAGUUACAGUAUUUAUCACUGCAAGUGUG
This 866-nucleotide non-coding RNA is filed under the name Pan troglodytes (chimpanzee). Lineage: Eukaryota; Metazoa; Chordata; Mammalia; Primates; Hominidae. The record is from RNAcentral.